This 429-nucleotide ribosomal RNA is filed under the name Bacteroidota bacterium. RNAcentral's name for it is "Bacteroidetes bacterium partial 16S ribosomal RNA". It matches the Rfam family "Bacterial small subunit ribosomal RNA", at positions 355 to 776 of the family's 1533-position model. Lineage: Bacteria; Pseudomonadati; Bacteroidota. The record is from RNAcentral.
UAGGGAAUCUUCCGCAAUGGACGCAAGUCUGACGGAGCAACGCCGCGUGAGUGAAGAAGGAUUUCGGUUCGUAAAACUCUGUUGUUAGAGAAGAACAGCGCAUAGAUUAACUGUUAUGCGUGUGACGGUAUCUAACCAGAAAGCCACGGCUAACUACGUGCCAGCAGCCGCGGUAAUACGUAGGUGGCAAGCGUUGUCCGGAUUUAUUGGGCGUAAAGCGAGCGCAGGCGGUCAAUUAAGUCUGAUGUGAAAGCCCCCGGCUCAACCGGGGAGGGUCAUUGGAAACUGGUUGACUUGAGUGCAGAAGAGGAGAGUGGAAUUCAAUGUGUAGCGGUGAAAUGCGUAGAUAUAUGGAGGAACACCGGUGGCGAAAGCGGCUCUCUGGUCUGUAACUGACGCUGAGGCUCGAAAGCGUGGGGAGCGAACAGG